ACACAUGCAAGUCGAGGGGCAUCAGUUUGGUUUGCUUGCAAACCAAAGCUGGCGACCGGCGCACGGGUGAGUAACACGUAUCCAACCUGCCUCAUACUCGGGGAUAGCCUUUCGAAAGAAAGAUUAAUAUCCGAUAGCAUAUAUUUCCCGCAUGGGUUUUAUAUUAAAGAAAUUCGGUAUGAGAUGGGGAUGCGUUCCAUUAGUUUGUUGGCGGGGUAACGGCCCACCAAGACUACGAUGGAUAGGGGUUCUGAGAGGAAGGUCCCCCACAUUGGAACUGAGACACGGUCCAAACUCCUACGGGAGGCAGCAGUGAGGAAUAUUGGUCAAUGGACGCGAGUCUGAACCAGCCAAGUAGCGUGAAGGAUGACUGCCCUAUGGGUUGUAAACUUCUUUUAUAUGGGAAUAAAGUGGUCCACGUGUGGAUUUUUGUAUGUACCAUAUGAAUAAGGAUCGGCUAACUCCGUGCCAGCAGCCGCGGUAAUACGGAGGAUCCGAGCGUUAUCCGGAUUUAUUGGGUUUAAAGGGAGCGUAGGCGGAUUGUUAAGUCAGUUGUGAAAGUUUGCGGCUCAACCGUAAAAUUGCAGUUGAUACUGGCAGUCUUGAGUGCAGUAGAGGUGGGCGGAAUUCGUGGUGUAGCGGUGAAAUGCUUAGAUAUCACGAAGAACUCCGAUUGCGAAGGCAGCUCACUGGAGUGUAACUGACGCUGAUGCUCGAAAGUGUGGGUAUCAAACAGGAUUAGAUACCCUGGUAGUCCACACAGUAAACGAUGAAUACUCGCUGUUUGCGAUAUACAGUAAGCGGCCAAGCGAAAGCAUUAAGUAUUCCACCUGGGGAGUACGCCGGCAACGGUGAAACUCAAAGGAAUUGACGGGGGCCCGCACAAGCGGA
Molecule: ribosomal RNA, 891 nt
Filed under: uncultured bacterium
Lineage: Bacteria
Description: bacterial SSU rRNA
Rfam family: Bacterial small subunit ribosomal RNA
Source: RNAcentral